This 590-nucleotide ribosomal RNA is filed under the name Streptomyces sp. SCAU9002. RNAcentral's name for it is "bacterial SSU rRNA". It matches the Rfam family "Bacterial small subunit ribosomal RNA", at positions 104 to 707 of the family's 1533-position model. Lineage: Bacteria; Bacillati; Actinomycetota; Actinomycetes; Kitasatosporales; Streptomycetaceae. The record is from RNAcentral.
GGGUGAGUAACACGUGGGCAAUCUGCCCUUCACUCUGGGACAAGCCCUGGAAACGGGGUCUAAUACCGGAUACUGACCCUCGCAGGCAUCUGCGAGGUUCGAAAGCUCCGGCGGUGAAGGAUGAGCCCGCGGCCUAUCAGCUUGUUGGUGAGGUAAUGGCUCACCAAGGCGACGACGGGUAGCCGGCCUGAGAGGGCGACCGGCCACACUGGGACUGAGACACGGCCCAGACUCCUACGGGAGGCAGCAGUGGGGAAUAUUGCACAAUGGGCGAAAGCCUGAUGCAGCGACGCCGCGUGAGGGAUGACGGCCUUCGGGUUGUAAACCUCUUUCAGCAGGGAAGAAGCGAAAGUGACGGUACCUGCAGAAGAAGCGCCGGCUAACUACGUGCCAGCAGCCGCGGUAAUACGUAGGGCGCAAGCGUUGUCCGGAAUUAUUGGGCGUAAAGAGCUCGUAGGCGGCUUGUCACGUCGGUUGUGAAAGCCCGGGGCUUAACCCCGGGUCUGCAGUCGAUACGGGCAGGCUAGAGUUCGGUAGGGGAGAUCGGAAUUCCUGGUGUAGCGGUGAAAUGCGCAGAUAUCAGGAGGAAC